This 243-nucleotide unclassified non-coding RNA is filed under the name Hevea brasiliensis (rubber tree). The record is from RNAcentral. Lineage: Eukaryota; Viridiplantae; Streptophyta; Magnoliopsida; Malpighiales; Euphorbiaceae.
UGCAACGAGGAAUGCCAAAUUCCACUGUAUAAUAAAAAUUAUUCAGUUCAUAAGCAAUUUAAAUCGUCAUCCACACUGCUGCAGAGAGGAGCAUACUUUAGUACGAGUGACAUACUGCAAGUCUUAAUAUUCUCCAUUUGAGUUCUUUGAGCUAAGCCACAAAAAAUUACUUCUCAAAGAAAGAAAUGAACAAAUUACAAGUCAGUGAGAAGAUCUUACAUGGAUCAAAUGAGAAUUUCUCAA